GUGGAGGGGGAGGGGAGGGAGAGCAGGCAGGGGACCCCCGGGGCCUGCCGCCACCCCAGGCUGGCGCCCCUGCCCUGCCCAGCUGAUCAUCAUAUUGUUUCAGAGUGAUGCCCAUCCUUGCUUUAUGCCAAUUGAUCCAUGCCUCUGCCGAGAAGAGGAAAGAGGUUCGGGCAGAGCGUUAAUAUUAAUCAACACCGGCCUCUCUCCAAAGGACAGCGGGGAAGCAGAAACAAAAGAAGGAGGUUUGCUGAAACAGCCCAGAAUAUUACAGCGGGAGAAGCAAUCAGUUAAUGGGACUGGAUGCCAAUGAGCCUCCCCAAUAUUCUGAUUUCCCGGGAGAAACUCGGCCGGCCUCCCGGGACCCGGAGGGAGUGGGGACGAGACAGGCUGCUUGCUUGUGCGUGCCUUGCCGGACCGGUUCUGUUCGUUCUGAGAAGAGACUCGUUCAAGUGACCGUCCGGUCCACGUGGUCCCCGAAGGUCCAGGAGGAAGCUGGUCUGCCGGUGACUAUGUCAAUCACGGCUCCACGUGCCUGCCACCAUGCGCCUCGCUUAGAGACCCAUAUGGACCUUCCCGUCAGGCUGGGACAGACUUAAAUUAUGACACUUUUCAUUUUGAUUGACAAUAACCUUCCCCUGGAAGUUGGGGAACAGCCCAGCUACAAUUACGUCUUGUACAAUAAAAUGAAGGAAAUAA
Molecule: long non-coding RNA, 696 nt
Organism: Acinonyx jubatus (cheetah)
Lineage: Eukaryota; Metazoa; Chordata; Mammalia; Carnivora; Felidae
Exons: 4
Source: RefSeq, a predicted model, not a curated record